CUCAGGGAGGUAGUGACAAGAAAUAACAACACUGGAAAUUUUAUUUCUAGUGAUUGGAAUGAUGGGAAUUUAAACCCCUUUCAGAGUAACAAUUGGAGGGCAAGUCUGGUGCCAGCAGCCGCGGUAAUUCCAGCUCCAAUAGCGUAUAUUAAAGUUGUUGCAGUUAAAAAGCUCGUAGUUGGAUGUCUGCUGGAAGCAAUCAGUCCGCCCUAUUUGUAGGGUGUGCACUUGAUGAAUUCUGGCAUCUAUGUCCUAAUGUGAUAGAUACGGCGAUGUAUAUGGGUUAAUCCUAUAUACACGUUUGUAUAUUAUAUUGGGAUAAUACCGUUACUUUGAGAAAAUUAGAGUGUUUGAAGCAGGCUAAUUGCCUUGAAUACUGCAGCAUGGAAUAACAAUAUAGGAUUUCGGUUCUAUUUUGUUGGUUUCUAGGACUGAAAUAAUGAUUAAUAGGGACAGUUGGGGGCAUUCGUAUUUAACUGUCAGAGGUGAAAUUCUUAGAUUUGUUAAAGACGAACUACUGCGAAAGCAUUUGCCAAAGAUGUUUUCAUUAAUCAAGAACGAAAGUUAGGGGCUCGAAGACGAUCAGAUACCGUCGUAGUCUUAACCAUAAACUAUGCCGACUAGAGAUAGGAAACUGUCAUUUUUCUGACUU
Molecule: ribosomal RNA, 652 nt
Filed under: Sarcocystis hjorti
Lineage: Eukaryota; Apicomplexa; Conoidasida; Eucoccidiorida; Sarcocystidae
Description: SSU rRNA
Rfam family: Eukaryotic small subunit ribosomal RNA
Source: RNAcentral